UCGGUGCUUGCUUGGAAGCC
Molecule: unclassified non-coding RNA, 20 nt
Filed under: Chlamydomonas reinhardtii
Lineage: Eukaryota; Viridiplantae; Chlorophyta; Chlorophyceae; Chlamydomonadales; Chlamydomonadaceae
Description: small RNA Cre_2728
Source: RNAcentral